CCUACGGGUGGCAGCAGUGAGGAAUAUUGGUCAAUGGGCGUAAGCCUGAACCAGCCACGUCGCGUGAGGGAUGAAGGUCCUAUGGAUCGUAAACCUCUUUUAUAAGGGAAUAAAGUGUGGGACGUGUCCUAUUUUGUAUGUACCUCAUGAAUAAGGCACGGCUAACACCGGGCCAGCAGCAGCGGUAAUACGGAGGAACCGAGCGUUAUCCGGAUUUAGUGGGUUUAAAGGGUGCGUAGGCGGCCUUGUAAGUCAGAGGUGAAAGUCUGUGGCUCAACCAUGGAAUUGCCGUUGAAACUGGGGGGCUUGAGUGUGUGUGAGGCAGGCGGAAUGCGUGGUGGAGCGGUGAAAUGCUUAGAUAUCACGCAGAACCCCGAUGGCGAAGGCAGCCUGCCGGGCCAUGACUGACGCUGAUGCACGAAAGCGUGGGGAUCAAACAGGAUUAGAUACCCGGGUAGUC
This 460-nucleotide ribosomal RNA is filed under the name uncultured bacterium. RNAcentral describes it as "partial 16S ribosomal RNA". It matches the Rfam family "Bacterial small subunit ribosomal RNA", at positions 338 to 795 of the family's 1533-position model. The record is from RNAcentral.